Dermacentor andersoni is the source of this 1279-nucleotide non-coding RNA. The record is from RefSeq and is a predicted model, not a curated record. NCBI's taxonomy places the organism in Eukaryota, Metazoa, Arthropoda, Arachnida, Ixodida, Ixodidae.
CGCUUUUUGUUUUUGGCGAAUGCUUAGAAGCUUCAAGUUGCGGACACUGCGGUGGGCCAGGGCUUGAUGACAUUUGUUGCCCAGCUGCUGGUGCUACCGCGACGUACUUGGAGCAACGCUUCUGCUUAUUUCCUCUGCCUGCACCUUAUAUUUGUUGUGUUUAUCGAGACCUGGCCUGUCUCUGCCUCGUUGAAGACAAAUGGACACAAGUACUGGUUGCUGUUGGUUUGCUCAGUCUGAGCGUGAUAAGGGAGGCAGCUUUUGCAUCUGCAACAGAACAUCGGUGGAUGUUGUGUGAAGCACUUUUUCCAUGCUUUUUCACUACCUGAGCAAGGUAUCUUUCUUGGUGCUUCAUCAUGCAAUUUAUACAGUCAACUUCCAUUAAUUCUACCCUCACGAGACUGACGGGUCGAAUUAAGACGCAAAAACCUGCUGAAGCACCGUUGAUUCAUUUGGCAAUAUGUGCUUGAGUAACACGCCUCUGAAACGAACGUGCAUCAUAUUUCUAUUUGUCCACAGUAUAAAACUGAAGUAGAAAUGACUUAACUCCAAACCAAAGUAGAAACCUACGCGUACCUGAUUUUUUAGAAUGGCAGCUGAUUUUCUAAAGUCAGCUUCGCCGUAUUACAGCCAUGAUAUGCGGUAAAGCGUAUGAAUGCUACAACCACUGUUUUAGUUUCGCAAUCGGUUGCACAGCUAGGCAAUUUUUGUCUCAAUGCCCUUCGAAAACAAAAAGUGUUCGUUAGAAUCAGAUAAGUUACCACAAUAGGACAUUGUCAGCUACCGUUACUGCUUGAAAAUCUUUCUCGGGUGGGUCAAAAAUAGGCAUUUCAGAGAGGAGAUGGCAUUUGUUUAACGCAUCCGGCGAAUGCCAGUUUUAGGAUCGAAAUAAUGACUGUUUAAUCCCAUAGAAAUGCAUGGGUGUCGGCCAGGAUCGAAAUAACUCAAAAAAUUAAAUGAACCAGAGUCAGAUUAUUGGAAGUUUACUGUACGCCUUUUUCUGUUCUCGAAGAAGUUGUCAUUUUAAUAUGUAGUUUUCUUCUAUCAGUGUGGCAAUGGUGCUAAAUUUAGCAUUUGUUUGAAUCAUCCAUUGUUCCAAGGACAAGCUACAAAGUAGGGGCACACUUUGAGACUUGAAGCAUUUCCACAUAUAAAGGCAGGGCAUGUUAACAUCUGUACAAUUAACAUAAGUUGGCUGUAUUGUCUGCAUAGCAUGUUGCUUUUUUGAAAUGUGGUCUUUCUGUAAAAUAAAGUUGCAUUUGUUUCAAAUAAAUUGCUG